AAUUUUUAAAGGAAUGUUUGUAAAGAUAGAUUUUUGGGAGGUGAAAUUUGAUUGGAAGGGGAUUGUUAAAAAGGGAAAUAUAAAAAUGGAUCGUAAUUUUUGGGUUAUUUUAAAUAUCUAAUUUAGAACUGGUACGGACAAGGGGAAUCCGACUGUUUAAUUAAAACUAAGCAUUGUGAUGGUUUUGAAUAAAUGAUGACACAAUGUGAUUUCUGCUCAGUGCUCAGAAUGUCAAUAUGAAGAGAUUUAACCAAGCGCGGGGUAAAACAGCGGGGAGUAACUAUGACUCUCUUAAGGUAGCCAAAUGCCUCGUCGUCCAAUUAGCGACGCGCAUGAAUGGAUUAAUGAGAUUCCCACUGUCCCUAAUUACUAUCUAGCGAAACCACAGCCAAGGGAACGGGCUUGGCAAAAUUAAGCGGGGAAAGAAGACCCUGUUGAGCUUGACUUUAUUCUAGAAUUUGUGAAAUGGUGCUCGAGGUAUAGAAUAGGUGGG
RNAcentral lists this ribosomal RNA (493 nucleotides) under uncultured eukaryote. RNAcentral describes it as "eukaryotic LSU rRNA". It matches the Rfam family "Eukaryotic large subunit ribosomal RNA", at positions 2007 to 2473 of the family's 3401-position model. The record is from RNAcentral.